This 468-nucleotide ribosomal RNA is filed under the name uncultured bacterium. RNAcentral's name for it is "partial 16S ribosomal RNA". It matches the Rfam family "Bacterial small subunit ribosomal RNA", at positions 28 to 507 of the family's 1533-position model. The record is from RNAcentral.
GACGAACGCUGGCGGCGUGCUUAACACAUGCAAGUCGAACGGAAAGGCCCUGCUUUUGUGGGGUGCUCGAGUGGCGAACGGGUGAGUAACACGUGAGUAACCUGCCCUUGACUUUGGGAUAACUUCAGGAAACUGGGGCUAAUACCGGAUAGGAGCUCCUGCUGCAUGGUGGGGGUUGGAAAGUUUCGGCGGGUGGGGUUGGACUCGCGGCUUAUCAGCUUGUUGGUGGGGUAGUGGCUUACCAAGGCUUUGACGGGUAGCCGGCCUGGGAGGGUGACCGGCCACAUUGGGACGGAGAUAGGGCCCAGACUCCUACGGGAGGCAGCAGUGGGGAAUAUUGCACAAUGGGCGGAAGCCUGAUGCAGCAACGCCGGGUGCGGGAUGACGGCCUUCGGGUUGUAAACCGCUUUCGCCUGUGACGAAGCGUGAGUGACGGUAAUGGGUAAAGAAGCACCGGCUAACUACGUG